Small nucleolar RNA from Elaeis guineensis (African oil palm), 101 nucleotides. Lineage: Eukaryota; Viridiplantae; Streptophyta; Magnoliopsida; Arecales; Arecaceae. The record is from RefSeq and is a predicted model, not a curated record.
UUGGGGCAGAUGAGGAAUCCAUAUUUUUUAAUGGGUAAUUUGCAUAUGAAGCAUCAUGGUGAUGUUACAUCUUCUAUCACCUUGGAGAUCUGAUGCCCCUU